UACGUAGGGUGCAAGCGUUAAUCGGAAUUACUGGGCGUAAAGCGUGCGCAGGCGGUUGUGCAAGACAGAUGUGAAAUCCCCGGGCUCAACCUGGGAACUGCAUUUGUGACUGCAUCGCUGGAGUGCGGCAGAGGGGGAUGGAAUUCCGCGUGUAGCAGUGAAAUGCGUAGAUAUGCGGAGGAACACCGAUGGCGAAGGCAAUCCCCUGGGCCUGCACUGACGCUCAUGCACGAAAGCGUGGGGAGCAAACAGG
RNAcentral lists this ribosomal RNA (253 nucleotides) under uncultured bacterium. Its description in RNAcentral is "partial 16S ribosomal RNA". It matches the Rfam family "Bacterial small subunit ribosomal RNA", at positions 524 to 776 of the family's 1533-position model. The record is from RNAcentral.